UCCCGAGCGUUNUCCGGAUUUAUUGGGCGUAAAGCGAGCGCAGGCGGUUAGAUAAGUCUGAAGUUAAAGGCUGUGGCUUAACCAUAGUACGCUUUGGAAACUGUUUAACUNGAGUGCAGAAGGGGAGAGUGGAAUUCCAUGUGUAGCGGUGAAAUGCGUAGAUAUAUGGAGGAACACCGGUGGCGAAAGCGGCUCUCUGGUCUGUAACUGACGCUGAGGCUCGAAAGCGUGGGGAGCGAACAGGAUUAGAUACCCUGGUAGUCCACGCCGUAAACGAUGAGUGCUAGGUGUUAGGCCCUUUCCGGGGCUUAGUGCCGCAGCUAACGCAUUAAGCACUCCGCCUGGGGAGUACGACCGCAAGGUUGAAACUCAAAGGAAUUGACGGGGGCCCGCACAAGCGGUGGAGCAUGUGGUUUAAUUCGAAGCAACGCGAAGAACCUUACCAGGUCUUGACAUCCCGAUGCCCGCUCUAGAGAUAGAGUUUUACUUCGGUACAUCGGUGACAGAUGGUGCAUGGUUGUCGUCAGCUCGUGUCGUGAGAUGUUGGGUUAAGUCCCGCAACGAGCGCAACCCUUAUUGUUAGUUGCCAUCAUUCAGUUGGGCACUCUAGCGAGACUGCCGGUAAUAAACCGGAGGAAGGUGGGGAUGACGUCAAUCAUCAUGCCCCUUAUGACCUGGGCUACACACGUGCUACAAUGGCUGGUACAACGAGUCGCAAGUCGGUGACGGCAAGCUAAUCUCUUAAAGCCAGUCUCAGUUCGGAUUGUAGGCUGCAACUCGCCUACAUGAAGUCGGAAUCGCUAGUAAUCGCGGAUCAGCACGCCGCGGUGAAUACGUUCCCGGGCCUUGUACACACCGCCCGUCACACCACGAGAGUUUGUAACACCCGAAGUCGGUGUGGU
This 902-nucleotide ribosomal RNA is filed under the name uncultured bacterium. Its description in RNAcentral is "bacterial SSU rRNA". It matches the Rfam family "Bacterial small subunit ribosomal RNA", at positions 532 to 1436 of the family's 1533-position model. The record is from RNAcentral.